GAAAGAUGCAACCUGGGCCAGAGGCCCCUGGAGGCUGUGCCUGACCCCAGACAGAUCACACAAACCCGAGCAGCCAUUAGCAGCUGCAUGGACUCCUUUGCACCGUGGGGCUGCUCCUGGGGAUAUUUAUGUUGUGAAUGGGUAGAAUCUGAAAUGCAGAAUAUAAAUUUCCAGACAUUCUUCUUAGAUGAUGCAGUCUGCCACAGGGACCAUGUAGAUGGAUUGAAUGGGGAUAUGAUGGGGAUGACCACCCCUGCAUUUGCUAAGUUCUUGAGAGUGGCAUCAAUCUCAGCCAUUCCACUGGAAUAGGGUCAGGAAAACAAAAUGUGAGGGCUCUACCAGCUGCUCAGUCUAUCCUUUCCAAUUAAGCACACUGGAACUGAGGAAGCAACAACAGGGUAGGUCCUAAGACCCUCAUCGUCAUUGCUGAGCCUGCUUUGACAAGAACUCCGUUUAUCACCUGCCUCCAUAAUUUCCCAUCCUAACUAGCUGUCAUCAUGGAAUUUCAGGUUCUGCUGAUGUCAUUAUAAUGGAUCUUAACUAGUGGGCUGGAGGAAAUGAGGGGAUGUGAGGAUGCAUCUUGUGAAGGACAAAAGUCAUCUAGUAAGUAGUCCCCUCAGGUGAGGACUUCCUGUGGUACCCAGGUAAUUGGAGGCUGCUUUCUUCUAGCAGGGGAGAGGGGGCGGCUUCUGUUGCCCCAGAGAUCAGGGAAAUCCUAGGGUUUGGUGUUCUUAGACUCAUCUCAGUGGGAGUGGCAAUGACACUUAACUCUAACUGAAGCAUUUGGUGUCUAUGGUAUCUAUAGAUUUCGUAAGUUUCCUCCACAGUGUCCUCUGCCAUGCUGGACAGAAGUGGGUGGUAAGACGGUAUCAUUUGGUGGGAAGAGUCAAUUUCCUUGGGAAGCAGCAGAAGCUCAGCAUAACCAUUCAUUUAAAGCCUAGAGGGAUGCGGGCAUUUGAUGGUUAAGGUUAGGGGAUAAUGGGCUGGGCACAGUGGCUCACGCCUGUAAUC
Long non-coding RNA from Nomascus leucogenys (northern white-cheeked gibbon), 1011 nucleotides. RefSeq lists it as uncharacterized. The transcript has 5 exons. The record is from RefSeq and is a predicted model, not a curated record. NCBI's taxonomy places the organism in Eukaryota, Metazoa, Chordata, Mammalia, Primates, Hylobatidae.